This 279-nucleotide ribosomal RNA is filed under the name uncultured bacterium. RNAcentral describes it as "partial 16S ribosomal RNA". It matches the Rfam family "Bacterial small subunit ribosomal RNA", at positions 506 to 784 of the family's 1533-position model. The record is from RNAcentral.
UGCCAGCCGCCGCGGUAAUACGGAGGGGGUUAGCGUUGUUCGGAAUUACUGGGCGUAAAGCGCACGUAGGCGGAUUAGAAAGUCAGGUGUGAAAGCCCGGGGCUCAACCUCGGAAUUGCAUUUGAAACUGGUUUUCUUGAGGAUAGGCGGGGAAAACGGAAUUCCACGUGUAGCGGUGAAAUGCGUAGAUAUGUGGAAGAACACCCGUGGCGUAGGCGGUUUUCUAGCUUAUUCCUGACGCUGAGGCACGAAAGCAAGGGGAGCGAACAGGAUUAGAUA